Molecule: transfer RNA, 67 nt
Filed under: Tragopan temminckii
Lineage: Eukaryota; Metazoa; Chordata; Aves; Galliformes; Phasianidae
Description: tRNA-Phe
Source: RNAcentral
GCCCCCAUAGCUUACUCUAAAGCAUGGCACUGAAGAUGCCAAGACGGUACUUACCACACCUGCGGGC